This 73-nucleotide transfer RNA is filed under the name Blattella germanica (German cockroach). Its description in RNAcentral is "tRNA-Arg (CCT) (tRNA-Arg-CCT-5-1)". It matches the Rfam family "tRNA". Rfam says of the family: Transfer RNA (tRNA) molecules are approximately 80 nucleotides in length. Their secondary structure includes four short double-helical elements and three loops (D, anti-codon, and T loops). Lineage: Eukaryota; Metazoa; Arthropoda; Insecta; Blattodea; Blattellidae. The record is from RNAcentral.
GCCCCAGUGGCCUAAUGGAUAAGGCAUCGGUCUCCUAAACCGGGGAUUGUGGGUUCAAGUCCCACCUGGGGUA